Molecule: ribosomal RNA, 253 nt
Filed under: uncultured bacterium
Lineage: Bacteria
Description: partial 16S ribosomal RNA
Rfam family: Bacterial small subunit ribosomal RNA
Source: RNAcentral
UACGAGAGGCCCAAACGUUAUUCGGAUUUACUGGGCUUAAAGAGUUCGUAGGCGGCGCGGAAAGUAGGGUGUGAAAGCCCUCGGCUCAACCGAGGAAUUGCGCUCUAAACUACCGUGCUAGAGGAAGCUAGAGGUGAGCGGAACUGAUGGUGGAGCGGUGAAAUGCGUUGAUAUCAUCAGGAACACCGAUAGUGAAGACAGCUAACUAAGCUUUAACUGACGCUGAGGCACGAAAGUGUGGGGAUCAAACAGG